AAACCAACAGGAUGAAGCUGUGGCUGAUUUAAAGAAUCUGAAAAUCCUAAAUAAAACAUUGCAGGAAGAAACUGAGAAACUCAGCCAAAAAGUGGAGAACCUAAAUGAAAAAUCACAGAAUGAAACCAAGAAACUCAGCAGCCAAAUUGAGAAUCUAGAUGUAAAAUUACGGGUAGAAACUGAGAACCUGAACCAGACCAUCCAGUUAAUCCAGAAAUUCAAAGCCUUCCUGUUCAAUGAGCAAUGCAACUACAAAGAGUGUCUGCCGUGUCAGACAGGUUGGAUCUACUUCAGUGAUUCUUGUUACUUAUUCAGUAAUGUUGAGAGGACCUGGGAUGGAAGUCGUUGGUUCUGUCAGAACAAAUCUGCUGAUCUGGUUGUUAUUAAUAAUCAGCAGGAACAGGAAUUCAUUUAUGGCAACAUAAACACAAACAAAUACUACUGGUUGGGACUACGGAAUUAUGGGAGAUAUGUGAAUUCUGUGAGUUUUGUGAAUUCUACGAGUUCUGUGAGUUCUGUGAGCGUCUGGGUUU
Gambusia affinis (western mosquitofish) is the source of this 533-nucleotide long non-coding RNA. RefSeq lists it as uncharacterized. The transcript has 3 exons. Lineage: Eukaryota; Metazoa; Chordata; Actinopteri; Cyprinodontiformes; Poeciliidae. The record is from RefSeq and is a predicted model, not a curated record.